CAGCCGCCGCGGGAAUACGAAGGGUGCAAGCGUUAAUCGGAAUUACUGGGCGUAAAGCGUGCGUAGGCGGUGAGUUAAGUCUGCUGUGAAAUCCCCGGGCUCAACCUGGGAAUGGCAGUGGAUACUGGCUCGCUAGAGUGUGUCAGAGGAUAGUGGAAUUUCCGGUGUAGCAGUGAAAUGCGUAGAGAUCGGAAGGAACAUCUGUGGCGAAGGCGACUAUCUGGGCCAACACUGACACUGAGGCACGAAAGCGUGGGGAGCAAACAGGAUUAGAUACCCCGGUAGUCCCUGUCUCUUAACA
RNAcentral lists this ribosomal RNA (301 nucleotides) under uncultured bacterium. RNAcentral describes it as "partial 16S ribosomal RNA". It matches the Rfam family "Bacterial small subunit ribosomal RNA", at positions 509 to 808 of the family's 1533-position model. The record is from RNAcentral.